CCCUCGCGCGCUCUUGGGCAACACGGCAGGCGUGGAAGAGGCAGCGGCCUCCGGGAGCCACCUGAAUGGUGACUUGGAUCCAGACGACAGGGAGGAGGAAGCUGCCUCUAGGGCCGAAGAAGCAGCCAAGAAAAAAAGACGGAAGAAGAAGAGUAAAGGGGCUACUGCAGGAGGGCAACAAGAACCUGAUGAAGAAUCAGGAGCCUCAGUCGAUGAGGUAGCAAGACAAUUGGAAAAACAAGCAUUGGAAGAGAAAGAAAGAGAUGAAGAUGAUGAAGAUGGAGAUGGUGAUGGGGAUGGAGCAACCGGAAAGAAGAAGAAGAAGAAGAAGAAGAAGAAGAAGAAGAAGAGAGGAUCAAAAGUUCAAACAGACCCUCCCUCAGUUCCAAUAUGUCACCUGUAUCCUAAUGGUGUAUUUCCCAAAGGACAAGAGUGUGAAUACCCACCCACACAAGAUGGGCGAACAGCUGCUUGGAGAACUACAAGGGAAGAAAAGAAAGCCUUAGAUCAGGCCAGUGAAGAGAUUUGGAAUGAUUUUCGAGAAGCUGCAGAAGCACAUCGACAAGUUAGAAAAUAUGUUAUGAGCUGGAUCAAGCCUGGGAGGACAAUGAUAGAAAUCUGCGAAAAGUUAGAAGACUGUUCACGCAAAUUGAAUAAAAGAGAAUGGAUUAAAUGCAGGCCUGGCAUUUCCUACUGGGUGUUCUCUCAAUAAUUGUGCUGCCCAUUAUACUCCCAAUGCUGGUGACACAACAGUAUUACAGUAUGAUGACAUCUGUAAGAUAGAUUUUGGAACACACAUAAGUGGUAGGAUUAUUGACUGUGCUUUUACUGUCACUUUUAAUCCCAAAUAUGAUACGUUAUUAAAAGCUGUAAAGGAUGCUACCAAUACUGGAAUAAAGUGUGCUGGAAUUGAUGUUCGUCUAUGUGAUGUUGGGGAGGCCACCCAAGAAGUUAUGGAAUCCUAUGAAGUUGAAAUAGAUGGGAAGACAUAUCAAGUGAAACCAAUCCAUAAUCUAAAUGGACAUUCAAUUGGGCAAUAUAGAACACAUCCUGGGAAAACAGUGCCCAUUGUGAAAGGAGGAGAGGCAACAAGAAUGGAGGAAGGAGAAGUGUAUGCAAUGGAAACCUUUGGUAGUGCAGGAAAAGGUGUUGUUCAUGACGACGUGGAAUGUUCACAUUACAUGAAAAAUUUUGAUGUUGGACAUGUGCUGAUAAGGCUUCCAAGAACAAAACACUUGCUAAAUGUCAUCAGUGACAACUUUGGCACCCUUGCCUUCUGCCGCAGAUGGCUUGAUCGCUUGGGAGAAAGUAA
RNA transcript from Otolemur garnettii (small-eared galago), 1312 nucleotides. It is a transcript of the gene named methionine aminopeptidase 2-like, with no coding region annotated. The record is from RefSeq and is a predicted model, not a curated record. The transcript has a single exon. NCBI's taxonomy places the organism in Eukaryota, Metazoa, Chordata, Mammalia, Primates, Galagidae.